UUUUUUUUGUAAGCUGCAUUCCCCAACUCCUUCUCUUUCACCGCUUGAGCUUUCCUCUCCUUCGCUUCUUUCUCCCCUUCUGAGACCUCCAUUGGCUCUGGCUCCGGCUCAGAAACCUUCUCCUCCUUUGUCGGCUCUGGCUUUCUCUCCGGCUGAGGAGGCGGCGCUUCAGCCUCCGGCACCUCCAUAUCUUCUCCAGCAUUUGGUGCUCUGAAUUUCACAUUCAAUAAAACCCCCAAAGCUUGCAUCACCCUCUGAUCUUUCAAGUAAAUAUUCAAAUUGUUAGGAUUCUUCUGAAUCUCCUGCAUCAUCUUGACAAAAUCCGGUUGCUGAAGAUACAUCCUUGUAGUUGGAUCCGCUGUCAAUUUCGCCCACAUCUCCGGCCCAGAGAACGCAUCCCCAAAGGGAUUGGGCGGCGGCGGGGAUCGCGACCUGGAAGCAGCUGCCUGAGCAUCAGCCAAACCGGACUUCAACGCUUCAUUGUUGGGAUCAAUCUCCAGCCCCUUCUUAUAAGCUGCGAUAGCAUCCUGAAUUUGGUUUAAUCCCAAGUGUGCCGCACCAAGGCGGGAGUAUCCUUUAGACCAGUCGGGCUUAAGUUCGACGGUCUUCUUGGCAUCGGCUAGCGCGUCAGCGUAGUUGUGGAGCGAAGCAAGAGCUGCAGAUCGGUUAGAGUAGAGGACGUGGUUAGAGGGGGCAAGCGAGAUAGCAUCAGUGAAGUGUCUGACGGCUCCCGCAUAAUCGCCGGCUGAGAAUGCGGCGUUGCCUUUGGCUUUGGCUUCUUCGGCCAUGAACGGAAAGCUUCAGGAAGGACAGGAGUCGCAAGAGUAAGCUAGGGAUGGUUUUCGAAGAAAUGGCGAUCUGGGAGCAGUGAUUACAGAGAGAAGUAAGGAUUAAGAGAAGUGAGGGGUAUUAUAGGCAAGCAAGUUGAGGACGAGAGAGUUCUGGUGAUUCGAG
RNAcentral lists this unclassified non-coding RNA (954 nucleotides) under Hevea brasiliensis (rubber tree). The record is from RNAcentral. Lineage: Eukaryota; Viridiplantae; Streptophyta; Magnoliopsida; Malpighiales; Euphorbiaceae.